GUCAGUCCCCUCUAUAUAUACAGUAUGUCUCUAUGUAGGACUCCUAGUAUGUAGGACCCCUAGUCAGUCCCCUCUCUAUAUACAGUAUGUCUCUAUGUAGGACUCCUAGUAUGUAGGACCCCUAGUCAGUCCCCUCUCUAUAUACAGUAUGUCUCUAUAUAGGACUUUUAGUCAGUCCCCUCUCUCUUGAUAUACAUUAUGUCUCUAUAUAGGAUCCCUAGUCAGUCCCCUCUCUCUCCCUAUAUACAGUAUGUCUCUAUGUAGGACUCCUAGUCAGUCCCCUCAUACAUAUAUAAUAUAUAUAUACAUACAUAUAUAUAUUAUAUAUAUAUAUAUAUAUAUAUAUAUAUAUAUAUAUGUGUGUGUGUAUAUAUAUAUGUAGGACUCCUAGUAUGUAGGACCCCUAGUCAGUCCCUUCUCUCUCUCAUAUAUAUAUAGGACCCCAGCGCAAGUAAAAUGUUAAAAUGUAAAAUGGCUAUGCAUUCUAAGUAGUAUGCUAGUAUGGAAAUGGAAAUAGUAGUGGCGUUCCCUCCCUAUCUAUCACUCAGGGGCUGCCCCACAGGUGUCAUUUCAACAUCCAGUUUUCAAAUCCCCAAACAUGUGAACUGUGUUAUAGGAUUUCGGUUAAAAAUAUUCAAAAUGUCAAAAUUACUUUUUUGCAAAUCAAAUUAUUUUUCCACAUUGAUUCAAUGUUAUCACAAUGAUAUGUAUUUUUUUUGUGUACAACAACAUUGUCCCAACCAGUUGGUGCCCAGUAGGAACCUGUCACUCAGAGGCUGCCCCACCACUUGUUGAGAUACACCUCUCCACCACCCUGACCUGUCUCCAGGUGUCUAUUAUCACCCUCCUCCCAGCGUAGGAUCUCUCCAUCUUCCACCAGCACCAACUUCCAUUCCACCUGCUUCUCCGCAGGGAGGACGACCCAGCUGGCCCAGAACCCGUCUUGGGCUCUCUCCAGCGGAACGAAUCCCGUCCAGCUCCCCAGCUCCUGCUGGUUCCCUGUCACAGCCAGCUCCUGCCAGGGAGACUGGGUGCGGUAGUGGACACAGAACCUCACCCGUACAGUCUUGGGUUUGACAGGAAGCACAGCUGCCAUAUUUUUAUUCCUACGCAGGUGUCCAUCUUUGGCUCCUGUUUCUUUAACCUCCUUGAAUGCGGUUGCGUCAGCCACCGGUGGAUCGUCUAAAUUGUGAUGCGUUUCUGUGGGAUGAUGCUCCGCCACAGCAGAAGAGCAUUCGAUGGACGAGUGGCUUAUACUCACCCAUGGUGAGUCACUGUUGUCCUCUGUGCCGCUGACUGUCAUCCAUUCAUUAUAGUCCAUCGUGGCUUCCAUUAUGUUAAUUUCAACUUUCUCAUAACUCUCCUCUAUCCGUGUAUCAUCACUCUGUCUUUUCUUCUCCUCUCUACACGUGUGUCCUUGCUGUUAUUAUCAACGAUGUCUCCUUUCCUCUCAGCCACAUGGGUGUCUCUAACAUCAGUUGGCUGGCUCAACCCAUCAAUGACAUAGUCAUGAAGUAGACAGUCCUUCCUCCAAAGAUCCUCUACCAUAGCUUCCAUGUCAAGAUCCUCUACCAUAGCUUCUUUCAUAUCGUCUUCUACUGUCCUCUCAGAGACUGACGGCACAUGGCUGGUCAUGUCUGCACCUGGGUAUUCUACUUCCUGUAUCUCUGAAUCACACACAUGGCCAGUGUCACUCAAAGCCACCUCGGGGAGAUUUUCAUCCUGAGGCUCAUUGUCAAAGGUAACAUGAUUGUUUGCCUCAACGUCUGGGCAUUCUACAUCCUGUAUCUCUGUAUCACACACAUGGUCAAGUUCUUUAGUCUUGGUGUCAGUCAAUAUCAUGUCAGGUAGAUAUUCAUUGGGAUGUUCUGAUUCCUGAGUGUCGCUGACAAAGGAAACCUGGCUGUCCAUAUAAUCACUUGUACAUUCUACUUCCUGUAUUUCUUCUUCACAUAAAUUGCCAGGUUCUUGGAGGUCAGUGUCACUCAAAAUCUCUGGGAUGUUUUCACUGAGAUGUUCUGGACCUUCAGUGAUUACCUCAUCUGGAUAUUCUACUCCCACUUCCUCUCUCUCCACCUCAUACACAUGUUCCGGUUCUAUCUCAGGGAGAUUUACACUUUCCUGGACUUUGGCAAAAGCAACAUGGCUGUGUCUAUCAUCAUCCGGAUAUUCUACUUCCUCUCUCUCUUUAUCCGACACAUGUUCAGUGUCAGUCAAUGUCAUCUCCGGCCUCUCUUCCUGAGGCUCGUUGGAAAAGACAACAUGGCUGGUCAUGUCAUCAUCGGGGUAUUCUACUUCCUGUAUCUCUGUAUCACACACAUGUUCAGGCCGAGGUUCUGUAAGGUCAGAGUCAGUCAAUAUCAUGUCAGGGAGAUUUCCAUUGAGCUCUUCCAGAUCUCUCUGAGGCUUGAUGGCAAAGGCAUGUGGAUGGUUUACCUCGGACUCCUCCUCUGUGCUCUCACAUUGACAAUCAUCACUCAGUUCAACUUCCUUCAAACCCUCCUCGUCCUGGUUAUACACAUCUGUAUCCUUCUCAUGUCCAGAUUGAUAGUUUAUGUCACUGAGGGAAUAGUGACUGGUAGAAGCCUGCUCCUCUUGAUCCACGGUACAGUCAGUCUGGGACUCGGCGUCGUCCUGACAUAAGCCUUCGUAGAACUGACAUAAGCAUUCACUGCAAUGACACAAGCCUCCACAGACCUGACAUAAGCCGUCAUAGUGCUGACAUAUGCCUUCACAGUGCUGUUGAGGUUGAGAGCCGAGGUGAAACUCCUCAACGAUCUGCCACUCAGCAUAUGACUCCCACGUGUAAGGACCAUCGCUCUCAUUGGUUGUUGUUCGGAUCCGUCUAAUGGGUUGUAGAUCCUCAUUGGUUGCUGUUCGGAUCCGUCUAAUUGGUUCUAGAUCCUCAUUGGUUGCUGUUCGGAUCCAUCUAAUUGGUUCUAGAUCCUCAUUGGUUAGUGUUCGGAUGCGUCUAAUGGGUUCUAGAUCCUCAUUGGUUAGUGUUCGGAUGCGUCUAAUGGGUUGUAGAUCCUCAUUGGUCCGUGCUCGGAUCUGUUUAAUGGGUUCUAAAUCUUCAUUGGUUGUUGUUCGGAUCCUUGUAAUGGGUUCUAUAUCAUCAAUGGUUAUUGUUGGGAUCCCCUCAAUGGGUUCUACACCUUCAUUGGUGGUUGGGAUCCCCUCAAUGGGUUCUACACCUUCAUUGGUGGUUGGCAUCCCCUCAAUGGGUUCUACAUCCUCAUUGGUUAUUGUUGGGAUCCCCUCAACGGGUUCUACACCUUCAUUGGUUGUUGCUGAGAUCCCCUCAAUGGGUUCUACAUCCUCAUUGGUUAUUGUUGGGAUCCCCUCAAUGGGUUCUACACCUUCAUUGGUUGUUGCUGAGAUCCCCUCAAUGGGUUCUACAUCCUUAUUGGUGGUUGGGAUCCCCUCAAUGGGUUCUACAUCCUCAUUGGUUGUUGGAAUCCAUUCCAUUGGCUCUCUCCUCCAUUCCUCUCCAUCCCAGCUCUCCAGUGUCUCUGGCACGACUUCUUCACCCUCCU
This 3536-nucleotide long non-coding RNA is filed under the name Salmo salar (Atlantic salmon). RNAcentral's name for it is "lncRNA (ENSSSAG00000084957.1)". The record is from RNAcentral. Lineage: Eukaryota; Metazoa; Chordata; Actinopteri; Salmoniformes; Salmonidae.